RNAcentral lists this ribosomal RNA (913 nucleotides) under uncultured bacterium. Its description in RNAcentral is "bacterial SSU rRNA". It matches the Rfam family "Bacterial small subunit ribosomal RNA", at positions 8 to 932 of the family's 1533-position model. The record is from RNAcentral.
AGAGUUUGAUCAUGGCUCAGGGUGAACGCUGGCGGCGUGCUUGACACAUGCAAGUCGAACGGUAUGUGGCAACACAUAGAGUGGCGAACGGGUGAGUAACACGUGGGAACGUAUCUUUUGCAGGGGGAUAACUGACCGAAAGGACAGCUAAUACCGCAUAAGUCCGGGAGGAGAAAGGUGCAACAGCAUCGGCAGAAGAGCGGCCCGCGGUCCAUCAGCUAGUUGGUGAGGUAAGGGCUUACCAAGGCGACGACGGAUAGCCGGCGUGAGAGCGUGGCCGGCCACAAGGACACUGAGAUACGGGUCCUACUCCUACGGGAGGCAGCAGUGCGGAAUUUUAGAUAAUGGAGGGAACUCUGAUCUAGCGACGCCGCGUGCAGGAAGAAGGUCUUCGGAUUGUAAACUGCUGUGGUAAGGGAAAAAUGCUAUGUAGAGUGGAAAGCUACAUAGAGGGAUGGUACCUUACUAGAAAGCCCCGGCUAACUACGUGCCAGCAGCCGCGGUAAUACGUAGGGGGCGAGCGUUACCCGGAAUCACUGGGCGUAAAGGGAGCGUAGGUGGCCUAACAUGUCAACUGUGAAAACCCGGAGCUCAACUCCGGACUUGCAGUUGAAACUGGUAGGCUUGAGGACGGUAGAGGAAGACGGAACUGCCAGUGUAGGGGUAAAAUCCUUAGAUAUUGGCAGGAACGCCGGUGACGAAGGUGGUUUUCUGGGCCGGUUCUGACACUGAUGCUCGAAAGCCAGGGGAGCGAACGGGAUUAGAUACCCCGGUAGUCCUGGCCCUAAACGAUGUUCACUAGGUGUGGGGAGCGGAAAGCUCUCCGUGCUAAAGCUAACGCGAUAAGUGAACCGCCUGGGGAGUACGCCCGCAAGGGUGAAACUCAAGGAAUUGACGUGGACCGCACAAGCGG